RNAcentral lists this ribosomal RNA (446 nucleotides) under uncultured bacterium. RNAcentral describes it as "bacterial SSU rRNA". It matches the Rfam family "Bacterial small subunit ribosomal RNA", at positions 329 to 792 of the family's 1533-position model. The record is from RNAcentral.
UUCCAGACUCCUACGGGAGGCAGCAGUGGGGAAUAUUGCGCAAUGGGGGAAACCCUGAUGCAGCGACGCCGCGUGAGUGAAGAAGUAUUUCGGUAUGUAAAGCUCUAUCAGCAGGGAAGAAAAUGACGGUACCUGAUUAAGAAGCCCCGGCUAACUACGUGCCAGCAGCCGCGGUAAUACGUAGGGGGCAAGCGUUAUCCGGAUUUACUGGGUGUAAAGGGAGCGUAGACGGUGAUGCAAGUCAGAAGUGAAAGCCCGGGGCUCAACUCCGGGACUGCCCUUGGAACUGCAUGGCUGGAGUGCGGGAGGGGCAGGCGGAAUUCCUGGUGUAGCGGUGAAAUGCGUAGAUAUCAGGAGGAACACCGGCGGCGAAGGCGGCCUGCUGGACCGCGACUGACGUUGAGGCUCGAAAGCGUGGGGAGCGAACAGGAUUAGAUACCCCUGUA